GCGGGUAUCGUAUAGUGGUAAUACCCCAGUUUUCCAAACUGGCGCCGGGGGUCCGAUUCCCCCUACCCGCUCCA
Molecule: transfer RNA, 74 nt
Filed under: Patescibacteria group bacterium
Lineage: Bacteria
Description: tRNA-Gly
Rfam family: tRNA
About the family: Transfer RNA (tRNA) molecules are approximately 80 nucleotides in length. Their secondary structure includes four short double-helical elements and three loops (D, anti-codon, and T loops).
Source: RNAcentral